This is a non-coding RNA of Bos taurus (domestic cattle), 72 nucleotides long. Lineage: Eukaryota; Metazoa; Chordata; Mammalia; Artiodactyla; Bovidae. The record is from Rfam.
UUCCUGGUGGUCCAGUGGUUAGGACUUAGUGCUUUCACUGCCAUGGUCCAGGUUCAAUCCCUGGUUGGGGAA